Oryza glumipatula is the source of this 205-nucleotide non-coding RNA. NCBI's taxonomy places the organism in Eukaryota, Viridiplantae, Streptophyta, Magnoliopsida, Poales, Poaceae. The record is from Rfam.
AAAAAGAUAAACCCUGGAUUUCCGUGUCCAACGUUUGACUGUCCGUCUUAUAUGAAAAUUUUUAUAAUUAGUAUUUUCAUUGUUGUUAGAUGUUAAAACAUGAUUAGUACUUUAUGUGUGACUUGUCUUUUUAUUUUUUUCAUAAUUUUUUUAAAUAAAAUAAACAGUCAAACCUUGAACAUAAAAACCAGUGUUUUAUUUUACA